RNAcentral lists this long non-coding RNA (597 nucleotides) under Vitis vinifera (wine grape). RNAcentral's name for it is "long non-coding RNA (VVIN_LNC005887)". The record is from RNAcentral. Lineage: Eukaryota; Viridiplantae; Streptophyta; Magnoliopsida; Vitales; Vitaceae.
AGCCGCCACACCAUUUUUUCCCUCACCUUUCUCUCGUUUUCUCUCCGUCCAAACAUCCUUUCCUGCAGUUCUCUUCCUUUUCUUUUAUUUUUAUCUUCCUAUUUCCUUCUCUCUCCAUCUCCAUGGAAAGCCACCAUGGCCCUCAGUUCCUCUAUCUGCAUCGCCACACUGCCGUCGGAACCGCCAUCUCCACGUUACAACGCCGCCGCACUCCUCACCGUUGAGUCACUGCCUUCAUCCCUCCAUGGGACUGCCCUGGACCGGCCACCGUUCACCGCCCCGUCGCUUCGCGGCGCUGCGGCCACUGCCCACAGGUAUCCGUACUCGGUCCAUCCUCUUAGUUGCCCCUAUGGUCAUGGUUCUCACCAUCCCCAGCUCCCGUGGUCACCACGCCGCCGGAGUGACGCCAGAAACGUCAACCUCCACACGGACCACCGGUGACACCCACUGUCUCCAUCCCUUUCCAAGUCUCCUUCACAAACGACGGCAACACCUUCACCACCACAGGACCAUAAUCGCGUGGACAUCACCGCCACGACACCACUUCCACAACACGACGGGCCACCGCCGCCACAACAGUACCUCAUCAUCACCACG